CAGUCGCCACGGUAAUACGUAGGUCCCGAGCGUUGUCCGGAUUUAUUGGGCGUAAAGCGAGCGCAGGCGGUUAGAUAAGUCUGAAGUUAAAGGCUGUGGCUUAACCAUAGUACGCUUUGGAAACUGUUUAACUUGAGUGCAAGAGGGGAGAGUGGAACUCCAUGUGUAGCGGUGAAAUGCGUAGAUAUAUGGAGGAACACCGGUGGCGAAAGCGGCUCUCUGGCUUGUAACUGACGCUGAGGCUCGAAAGCGUGGGGAGCAAACAGGAUUAGAUACCCCGGUAGUCCCUGUCUCUUAUACA
This 301-nucleotide ribosomal RNA is filed under the name uncultured bacterium. RNAcentral's name for it is "partial 16S ribosomal RNA". It matches the Rfam family "Bacterial small subunit ribosomal RNA", at positions 509 to 808 of the family's 1533-position model. The record is from RNAcentral.